RNAcentral lists this ribosomal RNA (253 nucleotides) under uncultured bacterium. RNAcentral's name for it is "partial 16S ribosomal RNA". It matches the Rfam family "Bacterial small subunit ribosomal RNA", at positions 524 to 776 of the family's 1533-position model. The record is from RNAcentral.
UACGUAGGCAGCAAGCGUUGUUCGGAAUUACUGGGCGUAAAGAGUGUGUAGGCGGUGCUCUAAGUCUGUUGUGAAAUCUCCCGGCUUAACUGGGAGGGUGCGGCGGAGACUGGAGUGCUAGAGUGUGGGAGAGGUAAGCGGAAUUCCUGGUGUAGCGGUGGAAUGCGCAGAUAUCAGGAGGAACACCAAUAGCGAAGGCAGCUCGCUGGGACGGUACUGACGCUAAGGCGCGAAAGCGUGGGGAGCGAACAGG